ACGUGCCAGCAGCCGCGGUAAUACGUAGGUGGCAAGCGUUGUCCGGAUUUAUUGGGCGUAAAGCGAGCGCAGGCGGUUUUUUAGGUCUGAUGUGAAAGCCUUCGGCUUAACCGGAGAAGUGCAUCGGAAACCGGGAGACUUGAGUGCAGAAGAGGACAGUGGAACUCCAUGUGUAGCGGUGAAAUGCGUAGAUAUAUGGAAGAACACCAGUGGCGAAGGCGGCUGUCUGGUCUGCAACUGACGCUGAGGCUCGAAAGCAUGGGUAGCGAACAGGAUUAGAUACCCUGGUAGUCCAUGCCGUAAACGAUGAGUGCUAAGUGUUGGAGGGUUUCCGCCCUUCAGUGCUGCAGCUAACGCAUUAAGCACUCCGCCUGGGGAGUACGACCGCAAGGUUGAAACUCAAAGGAAUUGACGGGGGCCCGCACAAGCGGUGGAGCAUGUGGUUUAAUUCGAUGCUACGCGAAGAACCUUACCAGGUCUUGACAUCUUCUGCUAACCUAAGAGAUUAGGCGUUCCCUUCGGGGACGGAAUGACAGGUGGUGCAUGGUUGUCGUCAGCUCGUGUCGUGAGACGUUGGGUUAAGUCCCGCAACGAGCGCAACCCUUAUUGUCAGUUGCCAGCAUUCAGUUGGGCACUCUGACGAGACUACCGGUGACAAACCGGUGGAAGGUGGGGAUGACGUCAAAUCAUCAUGCCCCUUAUGACCUGGGCUACACACGUGCUACAAUGGACGGUACAACGAGUCGCGAAACCGCGAGGUCAAGCUAAUCACUGAAAGCCGUUCUCAGUUCGGAUUGCAGGCUGCAACUCGCCUGCAUGAAGUUGGAAUCGCUAGUAAUCGUGGAUCAGCAUGCCACGGUGAAUACGUUCCCGGGCCUUGUACACACCGCCCGUCACACCAUGAGAGUUUGUAACACCCAAAGCCGGUGAGGUAACCUUCGGGGGCCAGCCGUCUAAGGUGGGACAGAUGAUUAGGGUGAAGUCGUAACAAGGUAGCCGUAGGAGAACCUGCGGCUGGAUCACCUCCUUUCUAA
This 1034-nucleotide ribosomal RNA is filed under the name uncultured bacterium. RNAcentral's name for it is "bacterial SSU rRNA". It matches the Rfam family "Bacterial small subunit ribosomal RNA", at positions 503 to 1533 of the family's 1533-position model. The record is from RNAcentral.